This 460-nucleotide ribosomal RNA is filed under the name uncultured bacterium. RNAcentral describes it as "partial 16S ribosomal RNA". It matches the Rfam family "Bacterial small subunit ribosomal RNA", at positions 338 to 795 of the family's 1533-position model. The record is from RNAcentral.
CCUACGGGAGGCAGCAGUGAGGAAUAUUGGUCAAUGGGCGUAAGCCUGAACCAGCCAAGUCGCGUGAGGGAUGAAGGUUCUAUGGAUCGUAAACCUCUUUUAUAAGGGAAUAAAGUGCGGGACGUGUCCCGUUUUGUAUGUACCUUAUAAAUAAGGAUCGGCUAACUCCGUGCCAGACGCCGCGGUAAUACGGAGGAUCCGAGCGUUUUCCGGAUUUUUUGGGGUUAAAGGGUGCGUAGGCGGCCUUUUAAGUCAGCGGUGAAAGUCUGUGGGUCAACCAUAGAAUUGCCGUUGAAACUGGGGGGCUUGAGUAUGUUUGAGGCAGGCGGAAUGCGUGGUGUAGCGGUGAAAUGCUUAGAUAUCACGCAGAACCCCGAUUGCGAAGGCAGCCUGCCAGGCCAUGACUGACGCUGAUGCACGAAAGCGUGGGGAUCGAACAGGAUUAGAUACCCCUGUAGUC